CAUUUGCACCGUCUUGAGUGGUGGAUCUAAGAUUCGAACCCUAGCUGUCUGGCUGCAGGCUGUUGGUGCUCUUGGCCGCUCAACUAGAAUUCCUUUCAAACUACAGCAAUUAAGACAACUGGGGAGAACAGGGUCCAGAAAGCCCACCAUACAGCAAUCCUCUAAGCUCUCAGGCAACCACCCAAAGCAGACGAUUUGCUGAGACGGGGAUGUAGGGCCCAUAUCUGCCAGCGGAGCUCAGCCUGGAGAUCCCUUUUGGGGGCACCAGACCCGGGGGAGCAAGGAGAGAAGCCCAGGGAGUCUGACUCCACAGCCUGUCCUGCGCAUUGUGAACCUAAACCAUCCUGAAAGGAGCUCAAAUGGGCAAAGGAUUUUCAGAAACAAAGGUUGAGGCAGGAUGCUGGUGUUCAUGGAGACGCCGCAGUCAGAAUGGGUUUCCACCCCAUGCUUCCGGCAAUUGGGGAAUGUGACCGUAAACACAUCAGUAUCCAGAAGCGAGUUGCCAAAGACCCUCUGUUUCAGGAAGAACGCCCAGCCCUCCGUGCUCAGGGAGCAGCUGAGAUCAUCUGGUGCCAGGUGACGUCCGUGGCUCUGACAGUUCCUGGGAUCCAUUCCUCCGGGAGUUUGGACAGCGUCUGCUCUGAAGGUGGCCUUUCCCCUCCCAGAACAUGAUGUAAUUCUCCACUCCGAAGCCUCAAAUGGUUUGCAGAUUUUCUGGGGUGACUAUUUCCUGUGUUCUGAGGUCCCAGGCGGUGAGCGCAUUCUGCCCGAGAGCUGUGGACAGCGUUUACAGGGAAAGCUGCUCCUGUCGGUCAGGAGUGCUUGGUGGCAAGUAACAGAAAACACAACGUGGACCUCGAUGGACAGGAGAAAGCGGGGUUUGCUGGCUCAUGCAACGGAGCGUCUCUGGAAAGAUUUCAGGAUGUCAAGUUCCCUCUAAGGCUGCUUCCUUUCAAACGAGCAGGAGGACUAGCAGAAGCCGCAGGGAGCCAAGCAUGCUUCCUUGUUCAUUUCUAGCAGGAGCAGCUGUCCCAAAAUAUUAAAUGCAAGUCCUGGGCUGCUGGUUGGAUCAUCUAAGGUCAUAUGCCCAACUCUGAACCCCAUGACUGGUGUCCUUGGAGCUGGCAGAGAUCAUUUUGCUCUGAAGACUACAGACUGGCAGGAGAGCAUCACCUUCUUGCAAGGCUUCGCCUCCUCUGGUGUCGACAGCUUGUGCACCAGCACGUCAUUGAAGCCACGUUUGCAGAAGAGAGCGCGAUGAGCAGAGCCAGAGCUGAGGGCUGCCUCCCUGCUGCAGGGAUCCUCCUCAGGCCAGGACAGCUUUCAAUCACUCUACCCCUGGACCGGGAAAGCAAGCACCAUGUCUACCCCAGGACAUGGUUCCUUUCAGUUCCGACAUGACUUUUUCUGGAGUCAUUAAAAAUACCAAAUGUGGUUCAAUGCGGCAGUACAGUCAAUGGCAACUGCAUUCCCCUGGUUGCUCAAGUGUCCGCUGGGGCUAAGUUAUCCUCAUCUUCCGUCAAAAUACGUCAGUGGUCUCCAACCCGGUCUCCUCCUACUUGCUGCUCUAUCAUCUCAUCUACAGAGAAGCCAGAGUGAUCUUUUCAAAAUAUACAUGAAAGAUGCUCGAUGAAUAUUAAAUGAGAUCAUGUACGUCAAGCCCUUAUUAUGGUUCCUGGUGGAUGACGAAUGUUCAGUCACUGCUGGCUGCUGAUUCCAGUUCAUAGCCAAGGGAGGCAGAGUUCAGUUCCACUCAGAGGAGAGAUUCCACAUUUGAGGUCCACCAGGUGGGUGCUGAGAGGCUGUGAUGGGUCUGGUUCCUUAUUUCUCACUCCCUGUGUCUCUUCCCACCUGUAGCAAGUGCCCCGUAUUCCCUGGCCUAUCCGAGCUCCCCACAGCUGUGGACAGCCUCUGGGCCAGCUGACAGCUUCCCAUCUCACGUGCUUACAGAUGUCUUCCACACCCGUCACAGGGGCUUGCUCAGCUAUUUGUAUACAACCCAUGGAUGGGGGAGGGGGUGCUUAAUGCUCCUGGGGCCAACCAUCAACCAACAUAGAGGGGAGUUGUUGGGGAAAUGGUCAAGAUUUUUUGACCCCCAGUGAGACAAUUCUGAAGCACGUUCAUCCACCUUGUUUCCAGAAGGUCCUAUCUGGGAUGGAGUCCCUAUUACCCUCAACAGUAAUGUGCUUUUGGGUUUCCUCUCUUCCCCGACUUACCUCCCCCGCUUCUUUAAUGGCGACUUCUGGGAUAACUCCCCAAAACUACAUUCUCUCGAGUCCUGCUGUGGGAGACCCAUCACUACUCAACAUCUCUGAAGAAAUGGCUGCCCAGCCCAUUAGUCUAACAAAGCCCUAAAUGCCUCCCAUCGUUACACGCCAUCCCUGUGGUCUAUCAGCACCAGCUCACUGGCCCCAGACACAUCAAUGAUGGCUGAGGGGUGAGGAAUCCUUGGGUUAUCUGCAAAGACAAAGAGUUGAACGGGGAGGUACAUGUCGAUUUUAUCAUAGGGUUGCCUCUAUCCUUAUAGAAAUUGUCCCUAGGAAAUGGUUACAGUGACCUACCCCUCUCACUGUCAGAUGUGAUCAAGCCCUUAGAUCUCUGCAAAGAGCUACCCCUACCUUGUGGAGACCACCAUGCUGUGAAGACACAAAGGACUCCCUGCUUUGUGGCUCAGUUUUCUUGGUGUUGUACGUGUUUGUCAAAGAGGCUGUCAUGCAGAUGGCCAAAAAGCACGUGAAAAGAUGCUCAACAUCGCUAAU
This is a long non-coding RNA of Phacochoerus africanus (Common warthog), 2759 nucleotides long. RefSeq lists it as uncharacterized. The record is from RefSeq and is a predicted model, not a curated record. Lineage: Eukaryota; Metazoa; Chordata; Mammalia; Artiodactyla; Suidae. The transcript has 5 exons.